This 88-nucleotide transfer RNA is filed under the name Candidatus Berkiella aquae. RNAcentral describes it as "Legionella-like amoebal pathogen HT99 tRNA". It matches the Rfam family "tRNA". From Rfam's summary of the family: Transfer RNA (tRNA) molecules are approximately 80 nucleotides in length. Their secondary structure includes four short double-helical elements and three loops (D, anti-codon, and T loops). Further hydrogen bonds mediate the characteristic L-shaped molecular structure. tRNAs have two regions of fundamental functional importance: the anti-codon, which is responsible for specific mRNA codon recognition, and the 3' end, to which the tRNAs corresponding amino acid is attached (by aminoacyl-tRNA synthetases). tRNAs cope with the degeneracy of the genetic code in two manners: having more than one tRNA (with a specific anti-codon) for a particular amino acid; and 'wobble' base-pairing, i.e. permitting non-standard base-pairing at the 3rd anti-codon position. Lineage: Bacteria; Pseudomonadati; Pseudomonadota; Gammaproteobacteria; Candidatus Berkiellales; Candidatus Berkiellaceae. The record is from Rfam by way of RNAcentral.
GGAGAGGUGCCAGAGCGGUCGAAUGGGGCGGUCUCGAAAACCGUUGUACCCUAAUAAGGUACCGAGGGUUCGAAUCCCUCCCUCUCCG